CACAUUGUACUCUGGAUAAAGUUCACCAACUUGGGCUGCAAAAUCACCAAAGUGAGAGAUAGCUUCAGCACACAGAUGCCUACCAACUGCAGAUUUGUUCUCAUACACCAAGAUAUGUGCCAAUGCUACAUCCUUAAAGUGGACCGAUCCCAUAAAAAUGUUCUCAUAUGUUUCAUCAGAACCUGCCACGCCACAUACAAAAGGUCACAAAUUCUCAGUAAUUCCCCUAAAACAUCAUAAAUUGGGUAGUUUCAUGUUAAUAUUCCGGUCAACGAUUAUAGAUUAUAUGGUAAAAAAUUUAAUAAAAAAAAAGUGUAGUGAUUUUCACGAAUUAUAAAUGUCCUACGCAUCUAUACCAUCGACCAAGUUGUAGCAGGUCUUGUGAAAUUAGUCUAAUAGUUAGGUAACAACAACAGUAGCCCUAUUCACAUUAUACCAUUUUAAUCAGUUAAAAAUGUAUGCAUCAUUCAUCACAAGAUCCCUAACAUGGUGUUAAAUAGUGGUAUGCGACUAUGACUUUAGUGGUUCCGUCCACAGAUUUGGACGGAUGAAUACAAACAGAAAGCAUGAAAAUCAAAAGUAAAAAAUUGUUAGAUUCUUUCCUCGCAUAGCUGUGAGGAGUAGCAAAGAAAGUUGAAUAAACAUUAUAAUCAUAUAUUUACAAUAAAAUAUAUAUUCUAUAACGGAUCAUUACAUAGUCUGAUGACAUAUAUUUAUCAAAUAAUCCAUUUUUUUAAUAAUAUAAUUGAUUAUGGAAUAUACAUGUUAUUAUAUUUUUAUAUAAUUAUUAUAUUAUAUAUAUACACUAAAAAAAAUAUAAAUAUAGUAAAAAAAAUAAUUAGUUGUUAUAAUAACUAAAUUAGAAAUUAUUUUAAAAACUAAAAAAAAUAAUUUUUAAAUUAGUUUAUAUUAUUAUUAAAUAGUUUUGUAAUUUGUAUUUAAUUAGCUACCAAGGUUUUAACUCCCAAUUAUUUAAUUUCUAAAUUUGGUCGUAAAAAUUUUGGUUGCUAAUUAAAUACUAAUUUAAAAAUUAUUUAAUGAUAAUACAAACUAAUUUAGAAACUAAAGUUUUUUUUUCUCUAAAAUGAUUUAUAAUUUAGUUACUAUAUCAACUAAAUAUUUUUUAUUCUCUAAACAUAGUUUUCUAUUUGAUGUUUUUUUUUAGUGAUAUUAUUAAUUGAUUAAUAUUUGUAUUUUUAUUCUAAACAUAAUUAAUUAUACAAUAUAAUACAAUGUAAUAAUAAUAAGUAGUCAAACAAUAAAGAAAUAUAAAAUAAUAAUAAUAAAAUAGUCUCUACCUUGAAGAAGGUGCAAAAGCAUGAGCAUGCUUGCAUUAAGCCUCGGUGCAAUAACCGGACCCAACACCAUCCCAGGAUUCACUACAACAACAUCCCACUCACUCUCCUUUGCCAAAUCCCACGCUGCUUUCUCGGCCAAUGUCUUCGACAAUGGAUACCACAACUGUUGCACACACAAACACUUCACACCCCAACACAUAACAAAAACAAACACAAAAUUCAAAAAAUGAAAACCCUUUCUAACCGCUUUUUCCUUGCAAAAUUCAACGUCAGUCCAGCACUCCUCCUUCUUUGGAACAUCACCGGGCCAAUUGGGGCUCGGAACAAUCGCGGUGAUGGAGGACGUCACCACCACGCGACGCACUCCAGCUUCUUUCGCUGCCGUUAGCACGUUCACGGUGCCCUUUACCGCCGGGUCCAGAAGAUCCUUCUGCAUGAAGACCCAAAUGGGAUGAUGCAAAAACCCUAAAGAUUGAAAAUUUGCAAGAAGAUCGAGAGAACAAAACCUGGGGGUCCUGGACUUCAUCAACAAUGCAGGGAGAGGCGAUGUGGAAUACGCCGGCGCAGCCGCGCAUGGCUUCGAGUACGGAGUCGUAGUGGAGGAGCUCCAUCUGGAAGAGGCGGAGGCGCUCCGACGCUCCAUCCAAGGCUUUUAGAUGCUUUGUCUCGGCCUCAUCGUCUGUUAGAAAAGUUGUGUUGUGCUGUGUAAGUAUAUAUUGGGAUGAAACGAAUGAAUAAUGAGAGUGUGGAAUGUACUAACUGAGAUUUCGGACGGUGGCGUGAACGGUGUAGCCGCGGUCCAGAAGGAGGUGGACGAGCCAGGAAGCGAUGGCGCCGCUGCCGCCGGUGACACACACCACCUUCUCCAUUUUGCAACUUAAUUCUAACACGAAAACGAUCACUAGAGACUUGAGAAGUCCACUUUGAAAUCAAGAGAAGAAGAAAGAAACAAGUGUAAUGAUGUGACGAACAUACACAUUUUUAUAGAAUAAUAUCACUUCAAUACUAUUAUUUUAAACAUCUAUACAUCCGUAUUUUAUUAUUUUAUUCAAUUUUUAUGUUAAAUUUCAUAAAAAAUUAACAUUAAAUAUAUAAAAAAUAUUACUUAAAAAAUAUUUAUUUUCUUUUUCAAUUUGAGUUUUUUUUUUUUUGAAGUUUUUACUCUUCUUCCAUUGAUAGUUUUGGAAUGAGAGAGUAUAAUGAUGAUAAUGAUUUUAUAAAAAAAUAUAAUUGUUUCUAAUGAGGAAUUGAAAAUAAAUGUUAUUUUAUUUGUUAAAUUUUAUGUAAAAACUUGAUCGUAUGUUUUAUUUUUUUCUUUUGUCUUAAAAUUAAGAAAAGAGUAGGAGAUGUGCAUAUGCAAUAAUAUUAAAAUAAAAAAUAGUUUUAAUUUUUAAUUAAUUUAUAUAAAAUAAUAAAAUAUUUAAUUAUAUUAAUAAAAUGAGAUAUAUUAAAUAAAGAUAAAAUAAAUUAUACACUAAAAAUCGAUUAUAAUAAAAAAAUUAUAUAUAGAUAUAAAUAUUUUUUUAUAUUAUUUAAUUUCAAAGUUAGUCUUUAUUAUAUAUAUUUAAUUGUCAAACUGUAUUAAAAAAAAAAGACAGGGACAGUAGAAUUAAUUUGACAGAAAACGAAAGACAUGGAAAAUUUGACAACAAAAAUAUCGAAAUCAGCAAUGCAGAAUUAAUUAUAGGAAAGUUGGUGAGUACGAAAACCAAUCCAAUUUUUUAAAGGAUCCGGAUUUUUGACAACGUACGCAUCGUAUAACUCUGAAAAAAUCUUAAUAUUUUAAUAGUGUGUGAUCUUCUGUCAUAUUGGAAUCUUUUUCUUAUCUUUUUUGUAGUUUUCAUAUUUUGAGGUUUCUUUCUUUUUUUUAAGCUUCACUAUGUAUUUGCAAAUUUUUCUUUGUGCACUGAAACAUUUAUUUUUUCUUCUGUAUUGUUUUUAUUUGAUCUCGGUUUUAUUUAUUGUUAUCGUUAUUCAUAAUAAUAUUAUUUUUAUUAAUACUAUUAUUAAAAUUAAUAAUAAUACUAAUACUAAUAUUAAUAAUAAUUUAAAUAAUAAAAAUAAUUUUAAUAUUACUACUAAUUAUAAUAAUAUUAUUAUUAUUAGUAAUAAUAUUAGUAUUAGUAGUAAUUAUAAUAAUAAUAAUUAUUAUUAUUAUAAUAAUAUUUUUUAACUAGUGUUAUUUAUUUAUCUUUAUAUUCUUACAAUUCCGAUUUAAUUUAGUCAAAUAUAUUCUUAAAGAAAAAAAAUAUUUAUUGUCAAACAUAAUUUUGAAUUGGAUUUUUUGACAUCAUUGUUAUAAUUUUAUUCAAAAUGAUUUUUUUUAUGUUUAAAUUUCAUAUUGUGAUUAAAUUUAGUAUGAAAGAUUUUAUUUAUUGAAGUACUGAGCAAUUGGACUCGAGUAUGAUUGAGGUUAAUCCGUUGGUCAUUUAAAAAAAUGGUUUAGGAAGUGGUGACCUAGUCUAACGGUUAGAGAGGAUGAUGAAUAAGGUGAAUUGAGUUUGUUUAUAACACAUUAAAUUUAUUAUUCACAUGAAAUUUAUUUUUCACAUGAAAAAUGAAAUCUAUUACUUUAAACAUGAUUGUUAAUAUGGAUAACAAAGACCUACUAACUAAUAAAAUUGUCUUAAAUCAUAAAUUAAAAUUAUUCUACACAACUACAAGUUGGAUUGAUUCGUUAUAAUAAUUGUACACGGAUAACAGUAACAUUAGAGAAAUUCAGCUUGUACGAGACUGUUUUCUCAAUGCCUUGUUUGAGAUUUUAUAUUUUGUUUGACUGUGUGGCUUUGUCGGUAUGGUAGACGUUCCUUGGUAGAAAGAGGAUAAAGUACAAAUUUGUAUAAGGGUUAGACCACUAUGUAGUGGUUCAUAUUUAUUAUUUUUUAUUGAUAAUAAAAAAACAAUUUUAUUAUCAUUUUAUUUUAUUUAUUUUGAUGGAUGUAUUACAAUAGUAUAAUAAAUUAUUAUAGAAUCAUAAUUUUGUAUUAGUUUUUUUUUACGUUCAAGUUAUAUUUAGUAUGUAUUUUUUUAAAAUAAAAUCAUAUUUAUAGAUUUUUGAACUUAUUGAAAUAUCGAAUAAAAUUAUUUGAAAAAUCUAUUAUUGAAUAUUAUAGAUCAUUCCAAGACUCAAUCAUAGAGGAACACAAACUCAUAGUACCAAAGGAUAACUUUUUUUUCAUUAAUUUAAUUUCCAACUCAUUGAGAUAAUUAUAAAAGCAUUUCUAUCCAUAACAUUAUGACAAAAUGUAAAGUACACUUUAUUUUCUUAAUAUAUAUAAUUUGACUUUGAUUAACCAAGUGGGCUUGCUGAUAAAAAAAAAACCAAGUGGGCUUCUUCAAUACCUGCAUCAUUUUAAUAUUUGGUAACAUUGUUUAUGGUUUCCCAAUUUUUACUUUAUGCAUAUGGACCCACUUUUUGUUUGUUGCUAUUUUACUUUAUUCAUUUUCAUUUUAUUUUUAAUUCAAAAUAUUAUUAUAUUAUUAUAAGUGUAUCUUAUUUACUGUUGUUUAUUGUUUAUGGUUUUAAAGUAACUUUUCUCUUUUGUCAUACAUUCACAUGGGGAGCGCUUAUUUGUUUGCAUGAAAAUUGGAAAUAAGGAGUUGAAGACGUACAAGAAAGAAAGAGUAACUCUAAAUAAAAGAAUAACUUCACUUUUUAAAAUAAUUAGUACGUUGAACCGUGGAACGCACGGGAAUUUUUUCAAUAUUUUAUAUGUAAAUAUUAAUAUUAAAAUUAAUAAUUUAAUUUAUUUAUAUAUAAUUUCAGUUAUACUUCCGUAUUUUUAUAUCUUUCUUAUAUAUUUUUAGUUGUAAUAUUUGAAAAAGUAGUUUUUGGAUCGAUCAAUACCAAAUGAGUGAGUUAUUUCACUUUGAAAAUUUAUCAACCACAUUAAAAUACAUUUAAGACACUCAAUAAAUGAGUUGCAACAAUUAUGAAAACUACCUACAAAUCAAAGUCAUAUCCCAUCUCGGUGAUACUCCGGGAAAAUAAUUAAUAUUAAUUUAUUGAAUAUAUUAUCUAAAUAUACAUAUCUAUAAAUCAGGGAAUCUCCUUAAAAAAUCACUUAACACUGAUAUUUGAUAAAUUCGACCCAUAACAAGAAAUGACUCAUGAGUAAACCCUUUACAAAGAAGGAAGAUACGCUUUUGAUCAAUUUCACUAUACACUCUUAACACAAGGUACUUACUUGAUCGUUGAAAAACCUUUUGCAAGUUAACUCCUAAUCGACUAUUGAGAAAUUGAGGAGAAGGAGUCUUGAAGUUUAAAUGAGUGAAGUACUGAGGAGCAAGGGAGGGACCGACAACCAAAACAAUUGUUACAGUCAAUCUCAUGUUAUAUCUAGUCUCACUUUGUCUAUACAAGUACAAGUACCAUAAUUUCAUCGUGUGUAAGAGGCUUGACGAGAAGAUUUGUUGUAUUUGACAUUCUCUAGUGGAAAGACAAUUUUUUUAGUUUUGUACUUCAUUUUUACACAUUGUUUUUUUGUGGUUUCCAAAAAAAAAAAAAACAAAACAAAAACAGAGUCACCACCGAACAAUCAUCAUCACUUGAAAAUGAAGAAGAUACAACACUCUCCAUCAAGUAUUGUUGGAAUUAAAAAAGAGUAUGUAAGUGGAGGAUGAAGAUAUGGAGGUGCAAAGAGAAUUCGCCAUCAAUUUUGUGCAUAUGGGACUACUUUUUUCAUCACAUUUUGGUAUCACCCUUCCUUCAUGGGUGUUUCUUUCUGCACCUUUAUAUUUUUCUUCCUGCACCCCAACAUUCAUGUGCAAUUACAAAAGUAUCUCUAAGACAUCUAAAAAACCCAAAAGGAGCAUAUCUCACUCUUUCUUUCUUCCUUUUCUACAAUUGUUGUAAAAAACGUGGUGGCCCACUUGCAGCAAACAGCAAAUAAUGGGCAAAGAAAACACGAUGACCCCACUUGCAGCAAACAGAAAAUAAUGAGUAAAUAAAAAAAUAGGGUUUGCAGGAAAUAUAGAAAAGAAUGAGGAAAGAAAAGAAUGGCAUGUGAAGGCAUUGUAAGGAAGGGUGAUGCCACAACGUUAUGAGAAUGAGUGGUUGUGAUGGAUGAAUGAAUAAUUAAGAUUCUUUCACAUUCUAAACAGUAUCUCACUUUCAUUCUCUAACCAUUUAUAGUAACAUCCCCACUUAUUCUUUCUUCUUUUAUAACAAAAAACAUAAACAACCACCCCUUUUUUCUUUCCUUUCUUUUAUUUACUACUUUUUUUAUAUCAUUUAAUUAUAAAUCUUUCUUUUGUUCUGAUCCCCAUGUGAAUGUCUGAAGAGGAAAUCAUUUAGGUGUCAAUAAGAACAUUGACAUAUUGGUUUAUAAUUAAAAAUUCUUGAUUUUGCAGACUUUAACUUUGAGUAGAAAGUUGAUAUUAUAUUAUUAUGUUUAUCUAUUUAUUAACUCAAAUUUAUUGAAUUGAAGAACUGAUUUUCUGCUUUGAUUUGUAAUAGAAUUAAACAAUUUUUAAAAUAAUUCAUAUUUAUUUAUUCCUUCAUACUAAUAAUAAAACUAACCACACCAACAAAAGUUUAACAACACAUAUGAUCGUGCCUUAUUUUACAACAACAGGAAUUUGCACCAAACAUAUGUGCCAUAAGGACUCAUAUUGCAGCAGCAAUUAUGGAAGGAAUCCUUUUUUCUUCAAAUCCUCUACAGAAUCCUUAAUAAUCUCCUCAAUUGGAGUGAUUUGCAAACCCAAAUCCAUAAGUUUCUUUGAUCCAUCCUUCACUCUCAAUAAUCCUGGUUGGGUAUCUCGUUGCAUCCUUUCAAGCAAAAUCACAAAGCACAUCAUUUACAAGUAAGUUAUGCAUUAACAAUACAUGUAUCAAGUGUGUGGCUAACUUACUUAGGCACUUUGUACUCUGGAUAAAGUUCACCAACUUUGGCUGCAAAAUCACCAUAGUGAGAGAUAGCUUCAACACACACAUGCCUACCAGCUGCAGAUUUGUUCUCAUACACCAAAAUAUGUGCCAAUGCUACAUCCUUAAAGUGAACCGAUCCCAUAAAAAUGUCCUCAUAUGUAUCAUCACAACCUGAGACGCAACAUACAAAAUGUCACAAAUUCUCAGUAAUUCCCCUGAAAAAUCAUAAAUUGGGUAGAGUUUGAUAUUUGUAUUCGGGUCAACGACUAUAGUGUGCAAAAAUAUAAUGAGAAGAGCAUAGCAUAAUCAAAUAAGUCUAAUACUUUUCACGAAGGCAUCAAGUUCUAAAUGCCCUACGCAACUAUAUACCAUGAACUAAGUUGUAGCAGGUCUUGUGAAAUUAGUCUAAUAACUAGGUAACAGAAACAGUAGCCCUAUUCACAUGAUACCAUUUUAUUCAGUUAAAAUAUUAUACAUUAUUCAUAAUAACAAGGUCCCUAACAUGGUGUUAAAUAGUUUUUUUAUGAGAAAAAAAAAUAAUCAAAAUAUUUCAAUUCAACCGUUAUAAGUCAUAACUAACUAGAUCUCUUAUAUUCAAUAAACAAGUUUCUAAAACAAACCCAAAACAUGACAAUCUACCAACAUGGUUUUCAAUAAUGGUAUGCAACUAUGACUUUAGUAUACAAUUCUUCUCAAAGGAUAUUUUCCUUUAAAAGAAAAAUUCCUUUGUCUUUCUGAGUGUCUCUCAGACACACCUUUCCAUGCAAUCAACGUUUCUCUAGUGGCUCAGUAAUACUUCUGUAAUAAUGCAGAAUAUUUCAGCACUUCUCAAUAUUCAAGAGACUCCUACUGCAAGAUUAGAAAGCAAUAUUUGGAAAAGGCAAUUGAUUAAGCAUAAGUCUCUCUCUACCUUGAAGAAGGCGCAAGAGCAUGAGCAUGCUUGCAUUAAGCCUGGGUGCAAUAACCUCACCCAAAACAAUGCCAGGAUUCACUGUAACAACAUCCAACCCACUCUCCUUUGCAAAAUCCCAAACUGCUUUCUCCGCCAAUGUCUUCGACAAUGAAUACCAC
This 8238-nucleotide long non-coding RNA is filed under the name Phaseolus vulgaris (common bean). RNAcentral describes it as "long non-coding RNA (PVUL_LNC001904)". Lineage: Eukaryota; Viridiplantae; Streptophyta; Magnoliopsida; Fabales; Fabaceae. The record is from RNAcentral.